GACGAACGCUGGCGGCGUGCCUAAUACAUGCAAGUGGGACGCAAGGGAACACACUGUGCUUGCACACCGUGUUUUCUUGAGUCGCGAACGGGUGAGUAACGCGUAGGUAACCUGCCUAUUAGCGGGGGAUAACUAUUGGAAACGAUAGCUAAUACCGCAUAAUAUUAAUUAUUGCAUGAUAAUUGAUUGAAAGAUGCAAGCGCACCACUAGUAGAUGGACCUGCGUUGUAUUAGCUAGUUGGUAAGGUAAGAGCUUACCAAGGCGAUGAUACAUAGCCGACCUGAGAGGGUGAUCGGCCACACUGGGACUGAGACACGGCCCAGACUCCUACGGGAGGCAGCAGUAGGGAAUCUUCGGCAAUGGACGAAAGUCUGACCGAGC
RNAcentral lists this ribosomal RNA (382 nucleotides) under Streptococcus mutans. RNAcentral's name for it is "bacterial SSU rRNA". It matches the Rfam family "Bacterial small subunit ribosomal RNA", at positions 28 to 392 of the family's 1533-position model. Lineage: Bacteria; Bacillati; Bacillota; Bacilli; Lactobacillales; Streptococcaceae. The record is from RNAcentral.